RNAcentral lists this long non-coding RNA (23815 nucleotides) under Sorghum bicolor (sorghum). RNAcentral's name for it is "long non-coding RNA (SBIC_LNC001966)". The record is from RNAcentral. Lineage: Eukaryota; Viridiplantae; Streptophyta; Magnoliopsida; Poales; Poaceae.
GAAAGACAAAGAGAAGAAGAAGGAGAAGUCGGAGAAUCAUGAAGAUGACGAAGAUGAUGAGAAGGUGAUCAAGAAGAAGGACAAAAAGGAGAAAGACAAGAAAACGAAGGAAGAUGGCGAAGAUUCAGAAAAGGCAGACAAAGACAAGAAGGAUAAGAAGGCUAAAGAGAAGGAUGGAUCAAAGUCGAAGGAUUCAAGUGGCGAGAAACAAGAGAAAAUGAAAGAUGAGAAAAAGAAGGAAGGUGACAAAGAUGUAGGGGAGGAGGAGAAACACAAGAAGAGAGAAAACAAAGAUAAAGAUAAGAAGGAUAAAAAGGACAAAGAAAAGGAUGGAUCUGAACCAAAGGGUUCAAGUGAUGAAAAACAAGAGAAAGGUAAAGAUAAGAAAAAGAAAGACAAGAAGAGCGAAGAGAUGGAACAGAAGGAGGACCAUCUAGAGAAUAAGAAUGAUAAGGCCGCACAGAAGGAUGUCCACAUGAACAAAGAGUUGGCGGGAGCUGCGGACUCGGGCACCCGCGAAAUCAAGCUAACUGACACUGAACCACAGGAGAAAGAAAUUGAUAGUGAAGAUUCAGAAGGCAAGAAGAAGAACAUAGAGAAGGACAAGGACGAAACGAAGAAGAGGAAGAAGGAUGAUGGUGAGGACGAUGAAGGCGAGAAGAAAGACAAAGAAAAGAAAGAGAAGAAGAAGGACAAGGGUGACAAGAAGGGAGAUGGUAAGAAGAAAGAGGGUGAUGGCGAUGGCGAUGAAGGCAAAGAAGGUAAGAAGAAAGACAAGGAGAAGAAAGAGAAGACGAAAGACAAGGGUGCGAAGGAGAAGACGACCGAUCCGGUGAAGCUGAAAGCGAAACUGGAGAAGGUGGAUGCCAAAUUGCAAGACCUACAAGCUAAGAGAGAAGAUAUCCUGAGGCAGCUGAAAGAGCUGGAAGGCGGCGGCAAGGGAAAGACGAAUGGAGAGAAGCCUCCUGCACAGGUACAGGAGGACAAAGGGAAGGACUCUGGAGAGGUGCCUGCACAGAUACUGGAACAGGGUGGAGAGAGCAAGGUCAAGGAACAGAAUCCUGUUGCCGCAGCCUGAUCUUGUGGAGCUCCUGUGGCGGUUGAUGUAACAAUAACUCUGAUCUGGUUCUGUACACAUGCAUUAUACACUGUGUAUAGGAAUGUACAUUUUGAGCUGAGUUGUAAAAUGGUACACAUGGCAUGCACUAUCAGGAUCUAUGUCUCUCUUACUAUCCAGUGAACGGAACAUAUAUAGCCGAGUGGAAUGCGUCCUUUUCCUGAUACAUAACACUGUAAUACUUUGCUUUGUGAAUAAAAGGAAUACGUGGAAAUGUUGUUGCUGUUGUCAUAUUUGAAACACGUCCAAACCCAAAGAACAUACUACCUCAAUUUCAAAUUAUAAAUCACUUUUCUAAAUUAUAAGUCAUUUUAACUUCUUUUUUUAUACAUCCAACUUGCUAUUGUAUAUCAUACAUAUAGCAAAUUCGAUCUACCAAAAAAGUCAAAGUGACUUAUAAUUAGAACAGAACGGAAUGGGUAGAAAAUAGUCUCAGUUUCACUGCUAUAUGUAUAUGUUCCCAAAGAUUUUUACACCCAGAGGAAGUCCGUCUUGCUCGGAACCCAAAAUGGCAAAGACCUGAUGAUAUCAUCUACUAUCUAUCUACACCUAUGAUUCUCUCUUCUCUGAUGACUUCGGCACAACCGCGUCACAACAUAUGUUAUCUACGUAUGGUAUUCCACGGCUGAGUAGGGAAAACAGAGAAUGGCUCUUCAUUCGGAACUCGGCAGGCUCUGCAGGUACCUCUCUACGUUGUCCAAGCCGCACAGUUCCUUCACCACGGGCAUGAUGGCAGGAACUUCCAAAUCAAAAUGGGAUGGUGAAGGUCCAAACCCAGAGCAGUGUGGUUCAUUCCUUGCAGCUCUGAUUGCUUCUCUUGUUGCGCAGUGCACUGAAGCUGCAAGAAGCAAUGGUGGCUCCCCAGAUGCUGCAACAAAGGGGACUCGAGUCAGUGGAACAGAAAAUAAGCAAGUGAAAAGAAGUGAAGUAUGAGCAAUUUAUGCACACACACAAUCACCCAUCAACAUCUGCUACAGCGUGUGCAUGAUGCAGUGUUUCAGAGUCCAGGGAAGCGGUAUCGGCGACAAGUGCAUGGACAUUCAUAAACCUAGUGCAGUGUUUACAUAACCUCAUGUAUGCUGGAACUCCGAAUUUUCUAGUGAAUACUUUUGGAACAGUAAAUAAUGCAAUUUAUGCAAAUGCAGACGUCCAGUUUCACUGGGCACCAUAUGCUCACUGAUAAAUAUAACACAUGAUAUAAAAUAAAUUUAUCAAUUUCUUUUCAAUUCAGAUACUCGGAUAGCGUGUUACAACUGCUGCAUCCAAUCUACAGAACAGAACUAGUUGAUCUAGAGUAUGUUCACAGAUGUGUGACCAGUAAGGAAACAUCACACCUUUUGAAGAGAGCACGCGUUUCUUGUGAAAUCCACUGUUAAGUAACUUCACAUUAAACUGCUUUGGGAUGGUGUCCACAGUUGGGAUCUUGUAUGUCCAAGUCCCGUCAGAGAUAAGCAAUCCAUCUGAGUUGGUGACAUAUUCCUCAGUCAUGAAAUAGCCGAUUCCUUGAACAAAUGCCCCUUCAACCUGAAAAAUGAAAAGCACUGAACGAAGUUAGCAAAAAUGGAACUACUAAAACAUUUAGAUGACAUCACAAGAUACUUUGAUUGUCACAGCUCAGCAGUCUCAGAAAAUAUUAGCAUUUUCCAAGUUUACUACAAAAAUACUAAUUUCUUAUUGCCAGCUAUCUGCUAGACACUAUGAUACUUCAAAAACAUCAACAAAAGAGAGAAAAAAAACAAAUCUGCAGAUUUUCUCAAUAUAUAUAAAAAAGACCAAUACGAAUACGACCAAUCAGAUAAUACACACCUGUCCCAAGUCCACAGCGGGGUUUAAGCUCUGGCCACAGUCAUAUAUAAGAUCACUUCGUACAAUUGUGGAGGCCCCAGUGAGAAGAUCAAUCUCUACCUGCAACAUUGAAUGCAUAGAGAUUUAAAGAUUUCAGUCAUUGACUGAUAUCUUUCUGCUGUCUAGAGCAGUUUAUCUUAAACCAAACUUAAGUGUAAAACAAGGUACCUCACUAGCAGCAGCCCCAUAGUUUAGGUAGGAACCAGAAGGACCAGGAAUGUAGUAUUCUCGUGCUGAUAAGUUCACACCAACCAUUAUGGCCUGCAUAUUGAUGAUAGCAAUAUUUCAUACCAAGUAAUUUAAUUUAUGGAUGUGCAAUAGCACCUGUUAUGUUAGAAACUGGCAACGAGUGAGCAUGUUUGUUUUUAGUAUGACAAAAGCAGAGACAAUCAAAUUCAAUUACAUUAAGGGUGGAAAGAAAGACACCCCCAGAAUGCACCAGUCAGUUCAAAAGAUAGUUUGUAAGAAAGAAAGUGACUAAUAACCUUGGAAAUAAGUUCGUCCCAUGAAACAUUGCCUUGCUUUUCUUGAAAUUGCUCCUUGACUGGCUUCAGCCUGUCGACCAAGACAUAGCAUGCGAGACGAACUGCUUCACAGCUAGAUUCUGAUGUGGUACUCCCUGUGGUCCACCCUCCUUGUACAUUACUUAAUGUAUCCGCUUGAAUAACUCUUAUUCUCUCCAACAGCUCUUGACUUCGAUCAGGACAGAGUUGUCCAAGACCAAACGCUGCCAUCUGCUUCACUUUUGUCCAAAGCCCCUGGCCUAACUCAAUGCCUCCAACUUCAACAGCAAUAGACCCAUCAUUAAGAAUAGACACUUUUCCAGGUGUCGGUCGAGAUAAUACUUUGUGUACUAUUGGCACAAAAGAGAGGCCUCUCUUUUUCCAUUUGUUGUUUUUGUUGAAAGACUGGAUUGUUUCAAGCCGAUGCUGAUAGUUUUCUGAUGCAGUCACUUGAUCGCAUAUAGAGCGAAGAGUAUAGCCCAUGGCAUCUUCAGAGCACUCACUAUGGAACAAAGCAAGGCUCUCAACCGUGUGAAGAUUUUUAUGUCUAACCAAAUUAGCAUCAGCGGAGAGCGUGGAAGCAACAUGCUCAAUUAUAGCUUCGGCAACAUAAGAACCUUGUACUUCCCCAGGCCCCCGCAUCGCAGACUUUGUAGCAAUGUUUGUUUUACAGAUCUUUGCUUCAUAAGAAAAAGCACCCCAAUUAUAUUUCUUCAGUGCCUCAAUGAAAUUAUGAGGGAUUAUGAGGCUAACAUCUUUUGUCAUUCCUGCAUUUAUGAACAAAUCUAUAUGCAAAGCAGUGAUUUUCCCAUCUGAUUUGAAUCCCACUGAAUAGCAUAUUUUCAUGGGAUGCCGACCUCCAGUCACUAUCAUGUCAGUCUUGCGGUCAAGAUACAUACGGACAGGACGACACAACUUAAAUGCUGCAAGCGCACACGCAGUUGCCACCUAUAAGUAAAACAGGAUGAGUGUUCCUUUAAGAAAAUCGCCAGGUUAUAGUGUAGGGCAGGCUCAUUCAGCUUUACUAUUCAGUAUAGUGUCAUGGAUGUGCUAAAAAAAGAAGAGCUGGAGAUCUUGUUCUAUUAUUUGACCACACAACAUGACUGAUCAUGAUGUGCCCUUACGACAUGCAGACAUGUGCAGAUAGUUACCAGCAGUGUUAAUGAUACUCAUGUUUUCAGAUUCUGGUAGUCAACUAAACCUCUAUGAUUUAGAGGGCAUGUAACAGUGAACUUUUGCCACGUUUAUGCACCAUUUAUGCUCCAUAAUAAUGCAAUUCUGGUGAAAACGAACUUUGUUUCCAGAACUUUAAGAAUGGAUGGAAUGAUAUAAAUGCUUAUGGCCUGACACUUACAGGUAAUGAUCUAACAGCUUUUCCUCCAAAUCCACCACCAACUCUUCUGGUAAUAACACGAACAUUGUGACAAGGUAAACCAAGGCACUUUGCAAUGACAUUCUGUGCUGUCUCGGGGCAUUGGCUUGAGCUAUACACUACCAAACAGUUAUCCUCAUCGGGUAUUGCCAGAGCAGCUUGUGUUUCCAUGUAAAAGUAGUACUGAGAAUUAAGUUUAACCUGCAAAAAGUGUUCGUCAGCUGCAGAAUAUAUUAGCAAUAUAAAAGAUUGAUCAGAAGAAGAUGCCCACUAAACGUUAUUCCCUUGUUAGGAUCUGUCAGAGCCCCAUAGGGACCAGCUACAUACAAGGUUAGCCAAGGUAGGGCAGCACUAAAUCAAAAGCAAAGGAAUAGGACAUACACAAGUACUCCACAAAACUAGUUUAGCUGAAUCGCUUUUAGCAGCAAAGGUGGCCCAACACAUAAGUAACAUAAUAUAUAGCAAACCUGUUAAGAUCUCAUACCACAAGGGCCCAAUGCUUAGUGGAGAACCCAUGUAAGAUAUUAAUUUGACCAAUGAUUAUGAAUGCUAGUGCUCAAGCACAUACUCUGCCUGCUUUACAUUAAAAUAAUUUAUCCACAGACCAAACUGAUGCACAAAGUGUACCUCAGAGGAGAUUUUCUGAUCUGCUUCUGCCAUUCCUUUUGAGAAAUCACCAAUUUUCUGAGGAAGAAGAAACGGUGGGGUUUCAAAAUAACUGCACCUUUUAACAGCCUCCUCUAUGGAUAAAAUUGGAGCAUCUAAGUUCUCAGUACUGUAGUCAAUAACAGCUCUUUUUGCAGCUAUAUUGGCAAAUCUUUGUGUUUCUGCAAUCUGUGCCAAAAAGAUUCAGUAACAACAGAACUGAAUCAUAACACACAUGAUCAUAGACAUAAUUUUCAUUACUAAAGGAAAUAAGUCCAGAAAUUUUCUUUAAAUCCAGAAAUAUAACUACAAACCAUACCACAACACCAAGAGGUUCCCCUGCACACUGAGUAACUGGAUCACCAAACAGAGGUUCAGGUCCAAAUAUAGUGUUGGCCCCAACAUUGCUGCCACCUUCCGGAAUAUCCUUAACAGUAACUACUUCCAGCGUUUUAAGCUGCUCGAGUGAAAGGUCGAGUUUUAUGCUCUUCACAUGGGCUAAAGGUUUUGUGCUAUAUAUAAAUGCUCCAUAAACACAGUCCUUGGGAGCGGGGAUGUCAUCCACAAAUACGGCCUCACCUAUAUGUGGUGGUUUUGUAUCAGCACCGAAGUUUACUUUCCAAAAGAAUAGGUGAUGAAAAGCAACUGCCACUGGUUAAAUAAGUCACAUAGCUAAAACUUAAAGAAGAGACUGAAAUAUCAAUAACUAUUAUUACAGAUACAAUUAAAAAGGGGAGAUAAGAAGACAAACCAUAAAUAGCAUGACCAAGGAUGCAAGCAAAUAUGUAACUAUUUGCAUUAAAAAAAACAAAUGUAACCAUAAAUAAUUAAAUUGUUAGCAAGCCUAUGCAAUAGAUAACUACCAGUUUAUAUUCCACAAAAGUACUUCCUCCAGAGUAAGUGGUGUUAUGGGAGUGUGCGGCCAAAUUAUAAAUUUUGGUUAUCAAUGUUUCCAUGAAUUUUGAUUCGACAUAUGGAAAUGGUAUGUGCAGAUUUAUAUUGAGAAAUACUUCAAUGAUACAAUAAAUGGUACCAGGUCUCUUCAUAUUAUAAUAGACAAAUUAGUUAUGAAGUACCAUUUGCAAGACCACUUGUAUAGUACAUGUUAAAUGUCACUUAUGUUUGUCGGUAGGGAGUGAUUAUAAAAUACAAGUGCAAAGUGCAUACCAGAGGUUUGGAGUUCUGCUCCAACUUUCUUGGUUGGUAUGCCAACAGGGAGAUAGUCUUUAUUGAUUUCAAUAAUCUGGUUUGAAUAUUCAAGAAUGCGAUCAUUGGUACAUGAACCAGAGUUCACAUCAUUGAUCUUCUUAAGUGAAACAUCAACAUCCGCAUCGGGUCCACAAUUUGGAUUUCCGUUAGUGCCAGAAGUUACAUAGCCAUUAAGAUGAACUGCCUUUACAGGCUUCAAAGUUCCUUCAGUUACUGGGUAAAGAAAACUAAACAGAAAGGCAACUGCCAAGCUUGACCUAUAAGCAGCAUGCCUUGUGCCUUCUUUAGGAACAAUUGUUUCCUUGAGAAGUCUACAUGCUUCAAGUAGCACCGAUGCAGUAAUAGGUUUACCCACUAACAGUUUCUCAAUAUUCCUAGCCCUGAUGGCGUGUUGGCUCCCAUACGCACCAAAAGCCAGACAUAGCUCUGUCAAUACUAAGCUGCUUGAAGUUUCAUCUGAAGAGACUUGAGCCAAGAAAGCCGAAUUAAGAUAUGCGACUGCAUUGCCAAGAGGGCGUGGAGCAGCUCGGUACGUCUCAAAUAGCACAGAAGUUCCUAUUUUACUUACUGUCCCAUCCAUGGUUUUACCACCAGAUAAGCCACCAAUGAGAGUCCACCGAGGAAUGUAAAUGUUUAAUAGCAGUGUCUUGUGAUCACAAGGUGGCAUCUGAAGGAAGUUCUCCAACGUGACAGUCAACCUUUUUGAUGAUGCCUGGAUGCAUAUUGAUGAACCAGCAGCAAGGAGGAUCGUUGCAACGUCAGAGGCAAACUGGUCCCUCUGUGCCAUUAUCAAAUUUCCACCCAAACUUGCGGUGUUCCGAACAAAUGGAGAAGCCACUUUUUCCAUAUGAUCAGCAAUCUUACAGAAUAUCACAUCAUUGCAGCCACCAGCUUCUACUCUUAAAAUCUCAAUUGCCUGAGAAAUCGGUACUGCAGCUCCAAUGUGAACACCAUUGGCUUCCUUAUUAACCGAAUUCAGCUCUGGGAUGCAUCUGAGGUCAAUGUACCUAUCAUACACAUCUGUUUCUCUGUAAACGCCUGAAGCGGUGUUUCCCACAACCACCUUUGUUCUACUUUCGCCAAACAACUCAGAACCUACCAGCUUAUAGUACUCCUCCACGCUCCGAGGCCGGUGCCAAGUGCUGGCACUUCCGACCAAUGCCGGCGGCGUGUACAGGUCAUCAACCCCAGAAGAAGCUCUGAUCUCAGCCUUAAGGAACUCCGGGAACACACCGAUGCUCCCCUCGUCGUACCGCGGCAGCUUGGAAGCAUGGGCGUCCCCUUUCCUCCAGAAGGAGUUGAGGCCCAGGUCCUCCAAAUCCACGUCGGCCGCGAAGCUCUUGCAGGCAUCGGCGAUCGGGCGGUACCCCGUGCAGCGGCAGAGGUUGCCCGCCACCGCCCGCUCCGCCUCAGCCGCCGUGAGCCUCGCGAACCCCUCGGGCGGGUCGUCGUCGGGCUCGGGCCUCCUCCCCGCCCUGGCCUUGGCCUCGGCGCCCGCGAGCGCCGCGGCGAGGGACAUGCACACCCCGGGCGAGCAGAAGCCGCACUGCGUGGCGUGGAACCCCGCGAGGCGCUCGUGCACGGCGUGGAGGCGUCCGCUGCCCCGGCCGCCCCCGAGCCCCUCGGUGGUGGUGACGGCGCGGUGGUGGAGCCCGUGCACCAGCGUGAGGCAGGAGCUCGCCGCCGCGUGCGACACCGCGCCCGACGCCGCGUCGUACGAGGAGAGCAGCACCACGCACGCGCCGCAUCCGCCUGCAGAAACGGGGAGGGCCCCGGGUCGUCAAGCUCAAAAUCGCGGAACGAAACGGAAGAGCGCGGGGGCAGGGAGGGAGGGAGGGAGGGAGGAGUAGGGGAGGCCGGGGUGGCGUGCCUUCGCCGCAGCCGAGCUUGGGCCCGGUGAAGCGGGUGCGGGUGCGGAGGAACUCGAGGAGGGUGGCGCCGGGGUCCACGUCCCCCUCGCGGAGCUCCACCCGCUCGCCGUUCACGGCGAAGACCACCGCCGCCGCCGACGCUGAGGAGGACGGAGCGGGCGCGGUCGAAGGCGAGGGCGCAGCCAUCGCGGCUCGGAGCGGUGCGCUGCGUGGGCGCGUGCGUGUCGGAACCCGAUUCUCAUCUGGGCGGCGCCCGCAGCUUGCUUAUCUAUCUACUGUACUCUACUCCACUACUGUACGAGGCAGCAGACUUCACCGCCACUCUCGCAGCUUCGCGUCCAGCUGCAGGGUCGCUGUCGGCAAAUUCCAAGCGGGGACAAAAACGGGCGACGCUGACGGGGAGGGCGGCGUGCCGCGUGUCGAGCGCCACGAAGGUGACGGAUAGCCGCUGAUGUUGACGAGCGGGGCCGCUGGUGCAUGGCCGGGGGGUUGUUUAGGCCUUGUUUCCAAAAAUUUUGCAAAAUAUAAAUAGUACCACUUUCGUUUGUAUUUGACAAAUAUUAUCCAAUCAUGUACUAACUAGACUCAAAAGAUUCGUCUCGUCAAUUUCGACCAAACUGUGCAAUUAGUUUUUAUUUUCGUCUAUAUUUAAUACUUCAUGCAUGCGUCUAAAAAUUUAAUGUGACGGAAAAUCUGAAAAAUUUUGCAAACUAUUUUGGGAACUAAACAAGGCCCUAGUUUACCACCAAAAUCCAAAAAAUUUUCAAGCCACCUCUUCGUGAGUUGUUGUGCCCUUUUUUUAUAUCAAACACUUGUUUCUAAAACAGUUUGACGAGUGAAGCUGUUUUUUUUUCCCUCACAAAAAUAUGAGUGGGAUGAAGCUGAAAAAAUAGCUUAUUGCAGCUCUUUCCCUCAUUUUUUUCUCCCAUCUAUGCAAAAUGUAGUUAGUGAAGCUAUUUUAUCAAACAUUUUUUACAAAAUAGCUUAGCUUCAUUUAGGAAGUUGCUCACGAAGCUAUUUUAUAAAAAAACAGUUUUACUAGUGAAGUUGAGCUGUGCCAAACAAAGCCUGAAUCUUGCGGCAUAACAUUAAAUAUUGAUAAAAAUAACUAAUUACAUAAUGUAUCUGUAAUUUGUGUGACAAAUCUUUUGGACCUAAUUAGUUUAUGAUUUGACAAUAAUUAGGCCUUAUUCAGUUUUGAAAUUUUUUGGGUUUUGGGUACUGUAGCAUUUUGUUUUUAUUUGAUAAUUAUUGUCAAAUCAUAGACUAACUAAGUUCAAAAGAUUCAUCUCACGAUUUACAGGUAAACCGUGCAAUUAGUUUUUGUUUUUAUCUAUAUUUAAUAAUUUAUGCAUGUGGUGCAAGACUCGAUGUGAUGAGAAAUCUUUAAAAGUUUUUGGUUUUAAAGGUGAACUAAACAAAACCCUACCAAAUACAAACAAAAAUAGUAGCAAAUCCAAUUUUUUCGCGAACUAAACAAUUCCUUACUUUUUUUUACCAAGUACCAUAUCCCGCCUAUGUUCGCUGAUUUAUUUGUGAAAAAAGCAUUGUUAAAUAGUUGUCAGAUUCGAUAAAUAAGCUCAAGCGAACAGAGGCUAUAUCUUUGACAAAUCGCUAGAUACAAGGUUUAUUAUAUACAAAGAUCCGUGGCUCAUUAACACAUCUGAACCGGAUUCCAACAUAUAAACUCCAUGGACAGCUAAAGUAUGUGCCAUCUUAUUACAUGAUCUAUUACAGAAAGAGACAUCACAAAGAAACUCUAUUUACAUAAUGUUUUAUAUUUGAAUUACCAGAGGACCAAUAAUGCUUCGAUCUAAAUUUGUAGAGCAUUACCAAGCACUGUAGAAUCUGUCUCCAAAAUAAUUGUUGACAUUCCUUGUAGGCAGACACGCGACGCGGGUGGCUUUCGCGUUCGGGCCUUCGGGUUCGGGGUCGAUUGAUUGGCUGAUGCGCGUGUGCGUGGAUUGGUCGGCACGUGAGGCUUUGUUUAGACGUAGUUGGUUUAGUAUCAAUCCAUUUAACUCUACAAAUCCCGUGGGGUUCUCAAAAGGAACCCACGUCCACGUCUACCCAAAUUAGUUCUGCCGUUUGAUUACCUCCAUUAACGGUCAAGAUUACAUGCACAAAUAGUGUUUAGAAGCUGAUUCUGCUUAUGUUGACUAGCUUCCGAGAUUCUAAGUCGAUUCCUGGUCUCUAUGCACUACUGUCCCGCUUUUUCUUCGAAUCAGUCAGCCCACAAAUAUAACACCUAAUCUAGGUUCUUUAGAUUCCUUCGGAGCCUUCUACACUCUUCUGGCCCCUCCAUUCUCCUCUCCGCUUCCCGCACCUUCGACCCGCCGCACGCGUCGUUCCUCGACUCGCUCGUCGAGCUCGUCCCGCCGUCCUACACGCCCCAGUCUACUUCCAUCAUCGGCGACGCCUGGUGUAUUUUGUAUCGGUGUCCUGAUGCAGACAAACAUACCUGUAAAAGUGUGGCACGUAACCCUAAUACCGCCGCCGCCGCCCUUAAUAUGUGUUAAGUGGGUUGGAGUAAAAUUUUAACUAAAAUUUAUCUUAAUCUACUCUAACGUAUGUGGAUAGAUUGAGAUGAAUCCUAUGAGGAGGAAACGCUGCCGGGACCGGGUGAUGCGGCGUGGGAGCAGGGGGUCCCGCCUCCGCCUCGGUGCGGACUUGCGGGCCGGCCAUGCUCCGGUCACGUGCCGCCCCGCCCCGUCCCGCCCAAGCUGAGGAAAUUUCGGUGACCGGCAGCCCAACGCAACGAGACGGCACCCCCGAUCCCGGACGCACUGCAGCUUUGUUGGCUCCCACAUACGUAAAAUGGAGAUUAGUCCCAACGAGACGUUUGGAAAAUGUUUCCUCCUCAACGAGCAAAUCUUUAAAAGACGAAACCCGUACCAGACUCUUUCGCAUCUGAUUUGGCCACGUCAUCAAAAUAUCUUAGGCUGUUGGAUCUUGAUCGGGUGCACUCUUAUCCACUCGCUCCCCUCGAGACCUCGCCUUCCCUCGCUGCUGGCAGGCCGGCGGCAACUGCACCAAAACACCAGUGACUUCUCGAGACAUCCUUCUACGAACAGCUACAACUAGUACAACAUAACAAGGCACUGUAGGUCUUUACGAUUAUUGAUUAAUUAUCUAUUGCUUACCCACAUACUAUAAUUAAACUUCAUACAUUGAACGUUGGAGCAGAACUAAGAUAUACAAAGCUAAAUAAUAUAUACUCUCUUCAUACACAUAAAGAAAAUCGUUUACGACAACGACACGGUCUUCAAAGCCUAACUUUGACUCUUUAUUUCUAUAAAAAAAUUUAUCAAAAAAUGGUAUAUUUAUAUUUUUUACGAAAUUAUUUUCAAGACAAAUCUAUUCAUAUAGUUUUCAUAUUCAAACUUAACAACUUAAAAGUUAUUCAUAAUUUAUAUUUUCAAUGUUUAACUCAAAUCUUGUCCAAAACGACUUUCUUUAUGGUUAUAGAGGGAAUACAACUUUUUACUGGAGCUGUUAUUUUUGGUAUAUAGAGUGGAACUGCAUUUCUCAUAUGGGCUAGCCUUUUUUUUAGCUUUUCAAGUUGUAAAAAAGUUGUUCAUAAGAUUACUGAAGCACUUCACGGUGGCGUUAUAAGUGCAAGCCCAUUUAAUGUAAAAAAAAAUUGUUCUGAGCAGCCUGUAAUAGAGUGAAAGCCUAUUUUAAUCAUCAUGAGAAUGAUAUUAUGUUUCUUUCUUCAGUCUGAGAUUAAUUGUUUCAUAAAUGAGAAAUAGUUCUUGCAUAUAUUCUUCAAAACCAUGACACGGUGGCGUUGAUCCAGUGAAUUCUCCUUGUCCACAGAUUGAAAAAACCAGUGUUUUUCACUAACAUUCGCAUCUUUUUACAAGUGUCCUCGACAUAUAUUUGAUUGAUUAAAAAAUAGCAAUUUGACCACAUCACCACAGGUCCGUACUUGUUACAACUGUCAGAUAAUGAACAGUGGAUUUGCCAAGUCAUCUUAAGACGCAUAACAGGUAGAAAACUGCUCACGGCUACUAUUAGUGACUUUAUCUUGCCUUUUAUGAUAGACAAAGCAAUAGCUCAAAAUUGGUUUUGGUUAUGCAAAAUUUAUCUUUGGCUGAACUAACUAUCAGCUUCAACUAACUACGUACCAUCAAUGUCUCUGUUAGUUAUUAGAAACGCAUUGGUGAGAUUAACGGUUUACUGAAAAGCACAAUUGGAAUGUUGCAUCGGACAAAACAAAGUACUACAAUAUAAGUUUUAGUAUAAUGAUAUUACAGUUUGCUUAUAACCUCUUGAUGCCAGCACUCGACGAAAAUCGAGAUGAAAUGACCUAUCAAAGGUUGGCGCGGCAAAGCCGCGCCGGUCUUUCUAGUAUAUGUGAAGCUUCCACACUUGCUAAUUGCUAUCUAUCCAGGCGUCCCCUCCCCACACACUACACCAAACUGGCCAUUUUUCCUUGGAGGUGAUAACGAAACCACCAAGAAAGGCUAUUUUCCUUUUUUCUUUUGGCGUUUUAAACUGCCAAGGCAGUUUUGAAUCCUGGUAGUGAUAAUUUUCAUGUAGUUUUCCUCGUUUUAGUUUUAGUGAAGCUAUUGAAAAAAAGAUAUAAAGGAGCUUCCUAUUCAUUUUAUUCAUUGGCAUAAUCAUUGGUUACCAAGUGAAUUUUAUUAGAGGGUUUUCGAAGAUGCUAUAAAAAUCAAUGAAAAUACUUGAUAAGAUGUCUGUGUUUAAUAGAUGUAGCAAUUUACUCUCUCUCUCUCUCUCUCUCUCUCUCUCUCUCUCUCCCCAUUUCAAACUACAAAACGUUUUGAAAUUUUUAGAUGCAUAGUUUUUGCUAUGUAUUUAGUAUACUCCAUCUAAACAAUGAAUCUAAAAAUAAAAUGACCUCUUCACACUGCUAUGGAGACAAUAAAAUGCUAUAUCUUAUAAUUUGGAACGAAGGUAGUAGACAAUAAAAUGACCUCUUCACACUGCUAUGGAGACCACGAGUGUCACAACAAAUAUAAUACCAUAUUCAGAGAUGGUUCCGUGUGGUUUAGCUACUCUAAUUGUUAAACGAUAUGAACAACAUCGUGAAACUUAGUUUGCAUUGCAUUUGUUUCCACGCCCUAUUCGGUUAGUCUGGAUUGCCCUAGGGUUUGUUCAAGAUGAUGAGAUCUUAUAUAAAUUAGAGAAGCAAUCCGGGUAGAGAUUAUUCUAGGGAUCAAGUCUAUGAUAACCGAACGAGCCCUCAAUGAACAAAGAAAGUUAAUGGCCCAUUUCUAUUUUUCUCUGAAGCAACGGUCCCUUUCCGUGAAUAAUCGAGAUUCACUUCGUCCAAAAAAUUUAUAAAAAUUAUACUUCAUGUUUAAGUUCUAAAAAAAUCGGCCAAAGUUCAUGAAUUUUGGAGGUUGCCGAAAAAUUUCUAAUACGGAAUUGAAAACUCUGGCGCCAAUCCGACUUGCGAGAAACGAGUUUCAAUUUUAUUUUGUAGAGCCACUUUAAGCUAAAGCUUGACCUAAGCCAGUAUAUAAACAUCCUUUUUCUUUGAUUUCAGAAAAGCACUAACAGCCAUUCUUUCCCUAAAAAAAAACAGCCAUUCUUUGUUUCCAUGGGCCAGGACAGCCCAUAUACACCCAACAAAGGUGCCCAAACAGUUUCUUCCCAGUCUUCAGGCGACGACGAGAAGCGGUGGUGGCCGGGGCCUUUUAUUGAGUUGGGCCGUUUCCCAACCCAGCCCAUUAAGACUAGCUGGCUAUAGCACUAGCGUGUUUGGCACUGAGGCACAGAACCCCAAUCCCCACAAGGCCACAAUGGCGUCGCUGCUGCGCCUCCCCUCGCUGCUCUCCCCGUCCAAGGGGCCCCUGCUCCGGCGCCGGCUGCCGGCGGCGAGGCUCGCGGCCUCCGCCGCGUCUAGGGGCCAGGCCUCGGCGGCCGCGGAGACCCGCGGCGGGGACAGGGAGGGGCAGGUCACGCCGCGGUCCGCGGACUUCAACGCCUGGUACACGGACGUGAUCGCCGCCGCCGAGCUCGCGGACUACGGGCCCGUCCGGGGGACCAUGGUCAUCCGCCCCUACGGAUACGCCAUCUGGGAGGCCAUCCAGGUCAGUGCUCAUUCGCUCCUCCUCUCCCCCCCCCCCCCCCCCGUGCCGUGCGCCAUCCUGCGUUUUGACAUUGCUGGUGCAAAGAUGAAGGAAGAAUGACUACGGGCGCUUCUGCCUGCGUAGUCGUAGAUUUCGAAGCACCAUGUAGCUCGGCUCUUGUUGAUGCCUGAAUAUUUUUGUUGUCAAUUUAUUGUAGGACUAUUUGAAUGUCAAAUUCAAGGAAACAGGGCAUAGCAACAUGUACUUCCCUCAGGUUCGCAUAUCAUGGUCCAUCUGUUUCUGCUAUUCAUUUUUUCUGCAUUAGUGCUCAGUGCUAACAGUGCUAAUUGAUUCAAUAAAUAAGUUUGUUUCUGUAUCUCUAUGUUGUAAUGAUGUUAAAUUGUGUUUGAUAGGAAUACCAUUUAUUAAUGCGACAAAAUGUCAACUCGCAUUGCUAGUAAAGUCUCAAAAGGCCUGUGCUUAGAUGAAGUUUCAGAAAGUGUAAUUUCACUUUUGAGGGUACCAUAUACUAAAACCUCUGCAGAAUUACCAUAUUCUGUGUUAACAUGCUUCUGGAUGCGAAAAGGCACAUAAUUUUGAAAGGAAGAAAAUGACAAAUGGAUGCUGAAUUUCGAUGUUUUGAUGAGGAAGUUCUGUUCUGGUGACACAUGGUGGGAAAUUCAGGAUAGUAUGAAAAUACAUGGUCCAUAUAAUGUCACAUCUUCCUAUGCAAAUGAUCUCUAGGGAAGUGAUAUUUGCAUUGUUUUGUAUUCAAAGGAAGUGUGUAUAGAUGUCCUUGUUUGAUGACGUGGAUCAAUCAUGCCUUUAUCUUCCUUUUAGCUUUGUGUCAUUGUCAUACACUUUCCUUAUUUCAGGUUAUCUAUUUUUGUCACUAAGCGAUUGCCUCAUUCUUUAUCAGAGUUAGACUCCAUAGUUUGCACUUGUUAUCUGUAAUUUCUUAUGCUUCUCCCUUCUAUUGUAUCAGUUCAUUCCAUACUCAUUUAUAGAGAAGGAAGCUAGUCACGUUGAAGGGUUUAGCCCGGAGCUUGCAUUGGUCACCAUUGGAGGAGGAAAAGAACUAGAGGAAAAGCUUGUGGUAUUACUUUGCUCUAGUUUUAUGGUUAAAUUUGGUAUAGACCACAUAUUUUGUUGGAAAAAUGAUUGCGUAGAUUGCCUCUAAACCUGAACCUUUUGAACUUGUGUUCUUGAGGGCUUUGUAGGUAAGACCAACAAGUGAGACCAUUGUAAACCACAUGUUCACCAAAUGGAUUCAUAGCUAUCGUGAUCUUCCUCUCAUGAUUAACCAGGUAACUUCGUUGGCAAAUUUAGACUAGCUAGACUUGUAGUCCACUAUUAUUCACGAUAUUAAAUAGUUCUUAUUUUCCUAGUGGGCUAAUGUGACAAGAUGGGAAAUGCGGACUAAACCAUUCAUCCGAACUCUUGAAUUUUUAUGGCAAGAAGGUCAUACAGCCCAUGCCACCCUUGAGGAGGCAGAGAAGGAGGUUAGUUUUCACAUUUUGUUUCCAUGUUACUGCUGCUUCUGUUGAAAUUUCAAAGCCAUGCAUGUAAUGGCGCAGGAAUGCCAAGUCUUGAAAAGCAAUGAAAGCUUCUAUUGCACUAAUUUCAUCUUCUCCAAUUGUUAUUGCUCUGCAGGCGAUGCAGAUGAUUGAUGUAUAUACCAAGUUUGCCUAUGAGCAUGCUGCAAUACCAGUUAUUCCAGGUAGAAAAUCAAAAGUAGAAACAUUUGCUGGUGCCAAUCGGACUUACACUAUAGAAGCUAUGAUGGGUGACAAGAAGGCCUUACAAGCUGGAACUAGUCACAACCUCGGCCAAAACUUUUCACGAGCUUUUGGAACACAGGUUGCUACCAACUGUCUUCAUAUCAUGCUUACUCAUUUGUUGGAUCUGUUUUAUACAUUUUAAAAAUUCAGAAGAAAUUGUUCACAAGGAUUGGAUUUGGUUCUUUUUAAUUGUUUCUUGUUUUCUAGAUAUUGCUUUAGAAAUUAACAAAAAUUUUGAUUUUUUUUUUUCAAUGUCUGCAGUUUAUGGAUGAAAAUGGUCAAAUCGAACACGUCUGGCAGACCUCUUGGGCUAUUAGUACUCGUUUUGUUGGUGGGAUUAUCAUGACCCACGGUGAUGAUGCCGGUCUAAUGCUUCCACCAAGGAUUGCACCCAUUCAGGUAUCCCUCUCUCCCUCCUUCAUUUGCUUGCUUUUAUAUGCACAACCUUCUAUCUGAUUAACCUAGUCUUCCCUCCGUUGUUUCUUGUGCUACUAUCAAUAUUUUACAAUGGAAUAAAUGGCCAACUUUUUUUUAAAAUCCAUACCCAUGAUGGGGCUAUCUAAGAAUGUUCCCAUUUAAUUCAGGUUAUAAUAGUACCUAUAUGGAAAAAGGGUGAUGAGAAGUCUGCUGUUCUGGAAGCUGUAGAUUCAGUUCAAAAAAUACUCAAAGAAGCAGGAAUCAGAGUUAAAGUGGAUGACUCAGAGCUGCGGACUCCUGGAUGGAAGUUCAACCAUUAUGAGAUGAAAGUAAUUGCUUCUACUCUUAUAGUGGAGAUCCAAUUCUUUGUGUGGUUCACCCAUUUGCUCUUACCAUAUUUAGAUUUGUAUGCUUUCAUCACUAUGAAAGUCCCUUCAUAUUUGAUGAUUUCAUUGGUCUGUGUUGUUGCAUGGCUAUGGCCUAUGUACAUCAACUCUGCCUGAGACCAUUACUCUAUCUGCUAGCACAUAAAUUUCUCAUUCUUUGACCAAAAAUGUUGUUUUGUGUGUUGCUUAACAGGCUAUAACAAUUUCUAGAAGGUUCUGUUGCAGUAUUGCCUUCAUUCCAGUUGUGAUGCCAACUAUCAAUAGGCAUAAUUGAACAAAAUCAAAGAUCUAUUAGAUGCAACAAUUUAUUUUAUGCAUGUAAUCUUGUUUUGAGCAUAGAUGUAUUUGGGCUUUGUUAUAAAUCAAUCUUGAUACAGUUUAUUUCCCUAUGUGGUCUCUCAUUUCCUUGUGUUGCUUUUGACAGGGGGUUCCUGUAAGAAUAGAGAUUGGUCCUCGUGAUGUCACAAAUAAGAGUGUUGUGGUUUCUAGGCGUGAUGUCCCAGGAAAGCAAGGAAAGGAGUUUGGAGUGUCUAUGGAGCCAUCUAUAUUGGUGAACCAUAUAAAGGGUCGUCUAGAUGACAUACAAGCAUCCCUUUUACAGAAGGCCAUCACAUUCCGUGAUAGGUAAUUGUUUUCCAUUGAAGGAUUACCUUGUCUUCUCUAUGUACUUUUAGGGACACCUUUUAAUCUUCUACUUGUUGACUGACGUCUGCAAACCAACCGCAUAAAUGUUUCAAUACCACCACAGCUGUUAAUUAUAUAAAAAAAAAGUUAGUGUUUUGUUGGUUAAAUUAGAGAGGUUUUAUUUCUUCCAUAAAUGUUUCAAUACCACCACAGUUGUUAAUUAAUAAUAUUUAGGAAGGCUCCAUAUCUUCUUUGAAUGGCUGCCUUUUCAAGGAUUUUUUUUCCUUUUCUUUGUGUCACUGCCUUUGCUCAGACCUAUUUUGAGCAAUUUACCCUGUUUCAUUCAUGCAGCAACAUUGUCGAUGUAAACUCAUACGGAGAGCUGAAGGACGCUAUUUCUGAAGGAAAGUGGGCUAGAGGUCCUUGGUCAGCUAGGUAGGUUAACUUUAGUAAACUGUCUAUCUUCACUGUCAUGUUUGUGCUGUAUAAGUACACGCACUAGUUGUUCCUGUCACAAUGUUAAUUUUACUGAACUGUGGCAAACUUCAGCGAUGCUGAUGAGCUGAAAGUGAAAGAAGAGACCAGCGCCACCAUCAGAUGCUACCCUUUCGAGCAGCCCGAGGGCACCAAGAAAUGCUUCAUGACUGGCAACCCGGCAGAGGAAGUCGCAAUUUUCGCAAAGUCAUACUAGGUCCACCGUGUCUGUCCAUUGCCAGAGAUUAAAACAGCAUUUUUCUUUUCCUUUUUAGGAUUGUACCCUGUAUCACGGUUCAUGGAUUAGCAGUGGAAUGCUCGUGCUGCUGAUAUUUGAAAUGUAAAUUCGAUAAUCAAUAGGCCAAUUUUGUUCCAACCUAAGCAUUGGAAGCUCGUUUACAAGUUGUUUGCCUACUUACUACUUAGUAUCAAUUGUUUCUAACAAGUUCCCCUGUAUGCUAAUUGGUAAAUCAUGUGUAAGUUACAUUGAAUUGUGCUAAAGUUGUACUACUGAGAAAGGAGUGAAAACACCAAUAAUUUCUUAUACACUGAAAGGAAGAUUGCUUUAUUCUGUUCUUGAAUGGAAGGGGUAGAAAAUAACGAAAAAUGUUAACAUAUUGCUGCUACAAAGUACAAUUGCUACUGCAUAUGAAACCAUCACUUCGUUGCAAGUUUGCCACCAUCUUCCGUCGUGUGUGCCAAGUUGAUGCUCCAUUGCCUGCCUGCUCCUACAUGAUUCGUUCAGACAUGGAAGGCAGCCGCCGGAAGAAAUUGAUCACCGGUGCCGGCAUCCGAUCCCGGAACAUGGGGUGGCGCAGGUAGUAGAACCCGGCGACCACGGCCACCAUCUUCAUGGGCACCAUGUACAGCACCAUGGCCACAAGCACGCACAGCGCGACGAACAACCCGGUGGCGCGCGGGUCGCGCCACGACACGAGCGCCUGCAGCCUCUCCGCCUGCGUCGCGACGUCGCCGACCAUCUGCUGCAGGCGCGCGCCCACCAUCCUGGCGCGGUCGUACCGCGCCCGCACCACCUCGGGCGGCCUCGCGCUCGGGAUCGUGUCGAACUCCUCGUCCAGCUCCUCCCUGUCGGGCGCCUCCGCCAUGGACGCGCGCACGCACGGGUGCGGCGCCGGCGCGCGCGGCCUGCGCCGGUACUUCCACACGCCCACCGCGGCGGCGUGGAGCGUCAGCGUCGGCACGACGAGGUCCGGGUGCCACGCGAGGACCACCAGCACGGCGUGCGCCAUCGCGGUCGCCGUCGGGUUCCGCCACGACCGGGUGUCCUCCACCCAGCGCGCCGCGUCGGCGACCCAGGAGAGCGCGGCCACGGCGCGGUUCCAGUUGGCGCGCAGCUUGCGCAUGCUGAACCCGCGCGGCUCCGCGGCGUCCAGCAUCCACGUCGCCACCUCGCGCCGCAGCGGCGGCUCCGCCGACCGCGCCAGGUGCGCCGCGGUGAUGCGCGCCGCCGCCAGCCGCAGCGCCUCGCGGUUCACCGCCGGGAUGGGCCGCUGGUGGUGCAUCGCCGGGAGCGCCGGUCGGCCGUACGCGUGCAGCAUGUCCAGCAUCGACCCGGACGUGGAGAAGCGGAUGGCCAGCUCUACGUCGCCCAUUCGCUUUGCUCCGGUGGGCAGCAUCAUGAUGAGCGGGUACAGACCACGGUACGCGCGGCCGCGCUCCAGCGUGGACAGCCGUAUCCUCACCUUACCCAUCGGCCGCGAGCACGCCGCGGCGGCGGCGGCGGCGGCGUCCUUGCCGUCUGACGGCUGCAACGGCGGUGGGUCGUCGAACACGCCGACGGUGAGCACGGUGCAGGGGUCGUACACCGGCCACGUGUACUGCUCGUUCCAGGCCGGGUCGUAGCUGUCGGCGAUGGUGCGCGUGCGCGCCCACUUGGGUCCGUACUUGGCCACGGCGUACGCGUCCGUGCAGCCCUUGCCGUCGGCGGCGCGCAUCGGCAGGAGGCCCUUGCAUCCAACGAUACCUAGCUCCACGACGCCAAGGGGAGGGGGCCACAGCUGCCGCGCCGACGGCCGGAAGUCGCUGCACGCGUAGGACGGCUCGUCGGCGACGUUGUAGCCGCCGUCGAGGCACACGCGCACGUGCAGCCGGCCUCCGUGCAUGUGCAUGGCCGCCUUCUUGCCGACUCUCUUCGUGGCCUCGUCGGACGGGAGGAGGUCGAUCCACUUGGACGCCACCUUCCGGUCGUCGACGCGCCUCUCGACGGUGGCCAGGGAUACGCUAGCCGAGCCGACGGGGAAGGCCUCUUUGCCGUGGCGCACUUCGAGGGAGAUGACGAGGCAGUCGUCGUCGGUGAACGGCUCGGCGGCGACGAAGAGAAGGUCCUCGUUCCACACUGGCCCUCCGUUGCGCGCCACCGGCGUGGUGCGCGUCUUGAGCGCCUGGAAGCCCAGCAUGGCGCGCACCGCGAUGCCGGCGUCGCGGGGAGGCGGCGCCGUGAGCGUGUCCUGCGCCUCGAUCACGGUGAGGCGCAGGAGCCAGAGCUUAGGCGAGACGUAAACCUUGGCGCGCGACGUGGCGGCGGCCGUGGCCGUGGCCGCCGCCGGGGAGUCCGCCUUCCACGCGUCGGCGAAGGCCUCGUCGGCCUGCGUGCCCGCCCACGUGGCGACCAUGAGGUCGGCACCACCGAGGCGGCGCCCGCCCUCGAGCCUGUACCACUGCGUCGCGAGAGGCCCGUCCGGUGGGUCCCGCGCGUGCACGUCGGCGGUGUCGAAGCAGAGGCCGCCGAGGAAUUGGCGAUCGUCGGCGACGGACACGUCGGCGUCGGGCGGCAGGUCCCAGACGGCGACCUCGAGCGUGGGUCCCGGCGAGUCGGUGGCCGGAUCGCGAACGAACGCGAAGGUCUGGUCCCACUCGAAGAAGGCGCCGCGGCGUGCCUCCCGCGUGGACGCGUGGUGUCCGCCGGCGGCCACGCGCACGUGCGGGUGCGCGCCGGCGGGCAGCCCGCGCGCGCGCACCACCCGGACGAACAGGUAUGGCAUCUUGUCUACCAGAUCGUGCUUGCUCUGCACCAUCGGCUCCUCCAGUUGGGGCGGCGGCGGCGCCAGCUGACGUACAGGCAUCGAUACCUGCCGUGGCAUCGGCGUCAGCGGCGGCAGCUGGCGUACAGGCAUCGAUACCUGCCGUGGUAUCGGCGUCGUCGUCGGCGUCGGCUGCGGUGGCGGGCUCAACACAGGCUCCUCUUGCGGCGGCUUCUCCUCCGAUGCUGCCACCGCCUCUGCAGUCAUUACGGGCGCGUCUUCCGACGGCGCCGGUGCAGGAUCAGCCGCCUCCGGUGGCUUCUCCGUGGUGGCUCCGUCACCGGCUGAUGCGUCUGCCGCCUCCGGCUGCGGCGCCGGAGCUGCAUCCGUCGGCUCCUCGGCCUUGGGAGGCUCAUCCGUGGAAGCCGUAGGAGCAGCAUCGGGUGGCGACGGCGGCGGUGCUGCUGCCUCCGGCUCCGCCUCCGCCGCCGCCGCAUCAGGAGGAGCGGCGUCGUUGCCAGCGGCGGGUGGCGACGGCUCCGGCUCCGGUUCCGGUGGCGCGAGCGGCACGUCGACGUAGUAGACCUUGAGGCCAAUGUCGCCGCGGACCCAGUUGAAGCUGUUGAGGAAGCCCUUGUUCUUCUCGAGCGGGAAGUAGAUGAGCGCCUCCUCGCCCUUGCGCACGAACUGGCGCGCGUCGAGGCGGACGCGGCCGAGGAAGUUGUUCCGGCGGGUGGGCCCGACGCGGAGGUCGUGCAGCACGGCGACCUCGAGCGGCUCCCCCUCGACGGGGUCGACGCCGGCGGGCGGGAAGUCGAACUCGAGCGCCUCGUUCCACGCCGGGUUGAGGUCCCUAGCCACGGUGCGCGUCUUGCGGCGCUGCCCGUCGAAGUCGGCGCGCGCGUAGGGGCUCGACGUGCCCGUGCCGUCCUUGGGCACCAGGUCCCGUGCCUCCACCACCUCCACGAUCAGCUUCCUCGCCGUCGCCGUCGCCGUCGCCGCCAUCCCGAUUCACGACCGAUCGUCGGCACCAAUCGCGGCGAGGAGACACCUUGGAGCUUCUUCAGCCUUCAGCUGCAUAUGGAGCUAGCUAUGGCGAUUAGCGAGAUGGGUCAGUGUGAGCGUGGGUGUAUAGUGUGUUAGAAGAGACACAAGUUAUAUAUAUGAACGUGAAAGUGGGUAUUAUUAUAAAUAAAGAAUAUAUAUAUUUGCCUGAGAUAAGGAAAAUUUCUCUCUUUUUAAAACGAAUUGUGAGAGAAUUUCAUGGCACGCGGUUUAUAAAAAUUGGAAAUGAUUAAGAGGCGGAAUAGUAGCUGAUGCCAAUUCCUUGCUUCAUCUUUGUGUGAAGGAAAAAGAGAAAUAAAGGUCGUAGAUGAACGGCUUAGAGUGAAGGGUGUGAAGUAAAAGACCUAGAGGUGCUUACCUUCAUGUGCAAGCAGCUGAUGAUGAUAUGCUUUUAUAUUGUAAAUUGUAAUAAAGCAUGCUAUUAUUCAUGCUACAACGACAAAGAUUAUAUGCGUGUAAUUAUUCACGUAUAUUCUUUCAGGUAAUUAAUAAAACGUGUAUAAUAGUGUCUUGUGUGUCCAAUCUCACUACCAAUAUGUUUUAGUUGUUCACUCAAAAAACCAAUAUGUUUUAGUUCCAUCGCACAAGAAUAAGGAGUAGUCCUCACUUAGGAACAGAAUAAGGAAUAGUUUCAGUAAAGGAGAAGUUCAUUUGGGCACCCUGUUAUUGCUCGAUUUGACUUCAGCCACACAAUGACACAACUCGAAAGUUAGGAAAUUUUUUUAACAACGAACUAUCAAAUACCAGAGAAAUUUGACCAUAUAGCUAGUUUUCAAAAGAUGGUUCUUUUGUAUUUCCUGAAAAUAAUUUUAAAAAUUACUUGUAAAACUCAUAACUAAUUCAUUUUUAAAUAAAAAUGAAAUUAUUGCCUUUUUUCUAAAAUAUGUGUAAUUAUUGUAUUGGUGCUAUAUUAAUUUGGUAGAGUUAUUUGGAUCUUAUUUGUACUGAAUUGUUCCUAUUAUUUUAUUGCUCAUGGUAGUGCCCACGAGUAUUUAGGUUAUCAUUUUGUGCUCUAUCACACCCAGAGAUCGACAAAGAGAAUUCAUACUCAGUACUGAAUAUGUUUUCCGGUCUUCACCCUUUAUGUGUACUACUAGGACGAUGAAUCACCUAGCUUGGUCAAUCCCGGAUAUAUGCGCAAAAUAGUAAUUUAAAUAAGCAACGAACAUGACUAGAAGCAAUAAAAAUAAAUAACAUAUUUAAAUAAAACACCAAUAUAUUUUAUAUCGAGUGUAUUUUUUUAUUUAAAAAUUAUUCUCCUGACAAAGAAUAAAUUAUUUGUGAUUUCUUAGAGAGUAAAACCUAUAUUUUUUUAUUUUUAGAAAACACAAAAUCACCAUAAAAUUAGUUAGAUGACCAAAAAAUUAUGUGCUACUGAUAGUCUGAUACUAGUUCAGUUGUUCAAGAUCGUAUAGGUUUUGAGCUGCGUACCUGAAAACAAACUCCAACAAUAGUCACCCAAGAUGUACACCUAAAAGGGA